GGAGGGAUAGCUCAGUGGUAGAGCGUAUGCUCAGCAUGCAUGAGGUCCUGGGUUCAAUCCUCAGUACCUUCU
This 72-nucleotide transfer RNA is filed under the name Camelus bactrianus (Bactrian camel). It matches the Rfam family "tRNA". Rfam says of the family: Transfer RNA (tRNA) molecules are approximately 80 nucleotides in length. Their secondary structure includes four short double-helical elements and three loops (D, anti-codon, and T loops). RNAcentral also lists the same sequence under 2 other names. The record is from Rfam by way of RNAcentral. Lineage: Eukaryota; Metazoa; Chordata; Mammalia; Artiodactyla; Camelidae.